UAGGGACGGCAGGUAGACUAGUGGUUAGAGGGGAGGGGCGGCAGGUCACCUAGUGGUUAGAGUGGAGGGACGGCAGGUCACCUAGUGGUUAGAGUGGAGGGACGGCAGGUAGACUAGUGGUUAGAGGGGAGGGGCGGCAGGUCACCUAGUGGUUAGAGUGGAGGGACGGCAGGUCACCUAGUGGUUAGAGUGGAGGGACGGCAGGUAGACUAGUGGUUAGAGUGGAGGGACGGCAGGUAGACUAGUGGUUAGAGUGGAGGGGCGGCAGGUCACCUAGUGGUUAGAGUGGAGGGACGGCAGGUAGACUAGUGGUUAGAGUGGAGGGACGGCAGGUAGACUAGUGGUUAGAGUGGAGGGGCGGCAGGUCACCUAGUGGUUAGAGUGGAGGGACGGCAGGUAGACUAGUGGUUAGAGUGUAGGGGCGGCAGGUCACCUAGUGGUUAGAGUGGAGGGACGGCAGGUUAUAGUGGGAUUCGGCCCCAGUGUGACAGUAGAUAGGGAGUAGGGGCUAAGGGUUAUAGUGGGAUUCGGCCCCAGUCUGACAGUAGAUAGGGAGUAGGGGCUAAGGGUUAUAGUGGGAUUCGGCCCCAGUCUGACAGUAGAUAGGGAGUAGGGGCUAAGGGUUAUAGUGGGAUUCGGCCCCAGUCUGACAGUAGAUAGGGGGUAGGGGCUAAGGGUUAUAGUGGGAUUCGGCCCCAGUCUGACAGUAGAUAGGGAGUAGGGGCUAAGGGUUAUAGUGGGAUUCGGCCCCAGUCUGACAGUAGAUAGGGAGUAGGGGCUAAGGGUUAUAGUGGGAUUCGGCCCCAGUCUGACAGUAGAUAGGGAGUAGGGGCUAAGGGUUAUAGU
Long non-coding RNA from Oncorhynchus keta (chum salmon), 846 nucleotides. RefSeq lists it as uncharacterized. The transcript is spliced from 3 exons. Lineage: Eukaryota; Metazoa; Chordata; Actinopteri; Salmoniformes; Salmonidae. The record is from RefSeq and is a predicted model, not a curated record.